UGAGGAAUAUUGCACAAUGGGCGCAAGCCUGAUGCAGCAACGCCGCGUGCGGGACGAAGGCCUUCGGGUCGUAAACCGCUUUUCUGGGGGAAGAGCAAGGACGGUACCUCAGGAAUAAGUCUCGGCUAACUACGUGCCUGCAGCCGCGGUAAAACGUAGGAGGCGGGCGUUAUCCGGAUUUACUGGGCGUAAAGCGCACGCAGGCGGCUCUGUUAGUCGGACGUGAAAGCUCUCGGCUUAACCGGGAGAGGCCGUUCGAUACUGCGGGGCUUGAGGUAGGGAGAGGAAUGCGGAAUUCCCGGUGUAGUGGUGGAAUGCGUAGAUAUCGGGAGGAACACCUGUGGCGAAAGCGGCAUUCUGACCCUCACCUGACGCUGAGGUGCGAAAGCGUGGGUAGCAAACA
This 403-nucleotide ribosomal RNA is filed under the name uncultured bacterium. RNAcentral describes it as "bacterial SSU rRNA". It matches the Rfam family "Bacterial small subunit ribosomal RNA", at positions 355 to 774 of the family's 1533-position model. The record is from RNAcentral.